Molecule: ribosomal RNA, 334 nt
Filed under: uncultured bacterium
Lineage: Bacteria
Description: bacterial SSU rRNA
Rfam family: Bacterial small subunit ribosomal RNA
Source: RNAcentral
GAUGAACGCUGGCGGCGUGCUUAACACAUGCAAGUCGAACGGAGAUAACAUUUUCGAAGCGAUUAGUUUACUAAGAGCGGAGAUGUUGCUAUCUUAGUGGCGGACGGGUGAGUAACGCGUGGGUAACCUGCCUUACACUGGGGGAUAACACUUAGAAAUAGGUGCUAAUACCGCAUAACAGGAGAAGAUGCAUGUCUUUUCCUUAAAAACUCCGGUGGUGUAAGAUGGACCCGCGUCUGAUUAGUUUGUUGGCGGGGUAACGGCCCACCAAGGCGACGAUCAGUAGCCGGCCUGAGAGGGUGAACGGCCACAUUGGGACUGAGACACGGCCCAA